CCGCGGUAAUACGGAGGGGGCUAGCGUUGCUCGGAAUCACUGGGCGUAAAGGGCGCGUAGGCGGACUCUUAAGUCGGGGGUGAAAGCCCAGGGCUCAACCCUGGAAUAGCCUUCGAUACUGAGAGUCUUGAGUUCGGAAGAGGUUGGUGGAAUUGCGAGUGUAGAGGUGAAAUUCGUAGAUAUUCGCAAGAACACCAGUGGCGAAGGCGGCCAACUGGUCCGAUACUGACGCUGAGGCGCGAAAGCGUGGGGAGCAAACAGG
Molecule: ribosomal RNA, 262 nt
Filed under: uncultured bacterium
Lineage: Bacteria
Description: partial 16S ribosomal RNA
Rfam family: Bacterial small subunit ribosomal RNA
Source: RNAcentral